Oryctolagus cuniculus (rabbit) is the source of this 3078-nucleotide non-coding RNA. The record is from RefSeq and is a predicted model, not a curated record. NCBI's taxonomy places the organism in Eukaryota, Metazoa, Chordata, Mammalia, Lagomorpha, Leporidae.
GGGCGCUCCGCGGCUGGCGGCUUCUGUGCCCGGCUGCGGGCGCCGGGGCUCUUGACUCGGGUUCUGUGAAUAAGGGCAAUGACGCGGCGCGUACCAGGAAGGGUUACUGCAGGUGUCAGUGUCUGGGACAUGCACAGUAGGCAGCCGGGUCCUUCUACUUCCCAGCACGGGAGACUGUGGCCACCCCGCCCGCCCACUCUGCAUCCUCUCCAAUCUAUGCACUCAGUAAAGGCCUGAAGUCUCUCCCUCAACUCCACAUCUGCAGGUUCAUGAACAGACUGGGGUGACACAGUAUGGGACAGGUAGAUGCCUUGCACGCAGCGGGACAUCCACUGCUUUUACAGCUCUGGCUCCGGGGAAAGACAGUACCACGUCUCUCAGAUUCACCAGCAUGUAAACAGCCCCGGUCAAGAGCAGCCAGGACCACGCGGCCUGGGCACACCAUGAGGAGGAGCUCAAGAGGCCAGGCAGGAGCGUCUCUUCCGGCACUGCCCACCUGGGCCACGUGCACAAGCGCUGUGUCCAACCUGAUGCACAGUUUGCAGCGUGCCACCGGUACCGCGUGGCAUUCCCAGGAGCACCGCGUGAGGGGAGCCACCUCUCCAUUCUCACUAACACUGGGUGCUGUCAGGGCUCAGUCUUUGCCAGUCUGACUCAUCCAAGGGAAAUUCUUUGCGCCUCUGUGAUCCACGGUGAGGUUGGACAUCGUUUCAUACUUACUGCCGUUUGUAUGUGUCUUCUGUGAACUGCACGCACUUGUUUUCGCCAGCCCAGGUGGUCUGCUGGCUCUGAUGGACCCAAGAAUGCAGACUGGACUGUCCGUCUUAGGCAGUGAGCACCUACUCUGAGCUCCGGCCUCUGCCCUCAGCAGCAGCCAGGAAAACAUACUAUGCUCAUGGAAAGGGAAGUGACAGUGCCAGCCUCUGAAUGCCAAGGGUCGAAGCUGUGACACAAUCAUCUCGCUCAGCCACCUCAGAGCCGGUCCUGCGCCAGGCUUCUCUCCAAGCCCUGGAGACAGAAGAACCCAACAGACACAUCUCCACCCCCGAGGCACACACAGGCUGGUAGGCAAGCAGAAUCUAAUGUGAGAGCUCUGAUAAUAGGGGCAGAUAUGAGGGGAUAUGAGAGCAAAUUAGGAUGGUCAAUUCUAUCUUUUUUGAUUAGUGAGAACAUGUAAUAAAACAUUACACAACUAUAGAGCUCCAAAAAGCGUAAGAUGUUUUUUACUGGAGGUAGCAUGAUGCCAUGAGAAGACUGCAUUUUGGCAAUCAGUGGGUUGGUUUCCCAGUUCAGUCACAUCAAACUGUGCAGCCGUGGGCAAUUUUCUUUUUCUUUUUUUCUUUUUUUUGACAGGCAGAGUGGACAGUGAGAGAGAGAGAUAGAGAGAAAGGUCUUCCUUUGCCGUUGGUUCACCCUCCAAUGGCCGCCGCGGCUGGCGCGCUGCGGCCAGCGCACCGCGCUGAUCCGAUGGCAGGAGCCAGGAGCCAGGUGCUUUUCCUGGUCUCCCAUGGGGUGCAGGGCCCAAGCACCUGGGCCAUCCUCCACUGCACUCCCUGGCCACAGCAGAGAGCUGGCCUGGAAGAGGGGCAACCGGGACAGAAUCCGGCGCCCCGACCGGGACUAGAACCCGGUGUGCUGGCGCCGCUAGGUGGAGGAUUAGCCUAGUGAGCCGCGGCGCCGGCCGCAAUUUUCUUAAUAAUAUCUUCUACAUAGGGUCACCAUGAGUUGCCAAAAAAAUUCAAAUAAAGUCAGGACCAACUUUAUUUGUGAGGCCUGGAAACCUACGUAUCAUCUGUAUAUAUAUGAGUUUAUGGUUUAAAUCAAGUUAGCUACAGAUCAAACGCAAUCCCUAGCCAAACUUGAGUUGCCUUCUUUUAAGAAAAUUGACAAGUGGAUGCUGAAAGUCAAACAGAAGUGCAAAGGACUUUAAAUAAUCAAGACAAUCAAGACAAAGAACAAAACUGGAGACUUGCACCUCCAAAUUCUAACUCUUAAUCAUGGAGAGACCCAAAAAUCAAGACAGCACAUAUCACUGUAUGGCUAGAUACGCAUGUGGACCCCACAACAGAUCCGAGAGGCCAGAAAGUAACCCUCACACUUACAGCCAACCGUGCCAAGACAACAAGAGUCCCAAGACAACAAGACAACUGAAAGGGGGAAGGAGUGGCCUUUUUGGUAAAUGGUGCUGAGACGCUGGACAUCCACACACACGUGAUGAUGCUGGACUCCUUCCUCUUGUAUAAAUAUAAAUGACCCCAAAAUGGAUCAUAGGCAUGAGCGUAAGAGCUAAAACCAUAAGCUCUCAUAGGAAGACACAAUCUUCACAGUCUAUAUUAGUGAUUCCUGAGAUUUGACACCAAAAGCACAAACAACUGAAAAGGGUAAAUAAAUUAGACUUCAGAAUGUGAAACUCUGGGCUGGGGUCGUGGCACAGUGGUCAGGCUGCUCGCAGCGCUCGGCACCCCACAUCACAGUGCCACUUUGAGUCCCGGCUGCACUUCUGACCCAGCUCCCUGCUCAUGCGCCUGGGGAAGCAGUGGAAGGUGCCCAAGUGCAUUAGCCCCUGCACCCAUGUGGGAGGCCCAGAUGGCGUUACGGGCUCCUGGUUUCGGCCUGGCCCAUUCCCAGCUGUUCUGGCCAUCUGGGGAGUGAAACAAAAGAUGACAGAUCUCUCUCUCCCUCUCUCUCUCUCUCUCAUGUCCCUCUGCCUUUUAAAGUAAAUAAAAUAAAAUCUUAAAAAUUUAAAACUUUUGUGCGUCAAUGGACACUGUCAUAAAUGUGAAAGACAGUCCAUAGAAUAUGAGAAAAUAUUUGCAAAUCAUACAUCUAGUGAUGGACUUGUACACAAAGUAUAUGAAGAACCCUUAUAACUCAAUAACACACCAAACUAGAAAUUGUUAAGUAAAACACGUUCCAUUUUCUUUAAUAGUUUUAACUUCAUAAAGACAAAAAGAAAAAUUUGUGUAAAGAGCAAUUUUCUGUGAUUCUAAGUUGGUAAAAUAUUUAUAACAAAAUUUAAUAAGCACUUAUUGGCAAAUAACAGACAUAUAAUUCAGAAAAUAUAUUUCAUAAAACUCA